This is a long non-coding RNA of Manis pentadactyla (Chinese pangolin), 1691 nucleotides long. RefSeq lists it as uncharacterized. The transcript is spliced from 2 exons. Lineage: Eukaryota; Metazoa; Chordata; Mammalia; Pholidota; Manidae. The record is from RefSeq and is a predicted model, not a curated record.
CCCGGGCGGGCUGUGGUUCGCCGCGGCUGGGGUGUCCUUUCGGGAUUCGUGUCGCAGCCUGAGGGCCUGGCCGGCCGCCGUCUCCGCGGGGCCAGACGCCUGAGCUCUUGCCCGGCUCAGGGGCUGCGGUGAGGAGCGUCCCGCAGUCUCCUGGGCUGGCCCGGUGGUGGAAGCAGAACCGGAAGCGACGGGCUCGGCGGGGAUGGAACCUGGCUAAUUGAGGUUCCAAAGAUCCUUUCUCUCGACCCAGUGCUUUGUGCCAUUUAGCAGAGACUGAAAAUUUAAGCAUCACAGGGCCUCACCCAGGCUCAUUUCAGUGGGCCAAACCAGAAGGCAGUAGAGAGAGUUACUAGAAAUAGAGGCUGCUGCACAGAUGGUCUCCAAGAACUUGGGGACAAGACUCUGAAGUAAAUAAGUAAAAGUCCAUACUCCUGUGCGACGAACUUCCUGAAGGGACCCACCUGAGAAGCAAACUGGAAAGAAGUUUAAAACCGUCUCCAUGCCAGCUUUGAUCCUGCAAACGGACCAUGAGAAAUUUAACCCAGACAGAUGUGUGCGCUACAUUGUGCACUGUAAACCUAUCCCAUAAAUGGUAAUUCAAUUUGUUGCAAUAGGGGCUGCUUAAUUAGAGCACAUUAUAGUAACGGGAUACUGUGAUACCAUGUACACACACAAAACCAAAGAAUAUUUAAUAACAUGGGGAAAUAUUUCUGGAAAUGCAGAUUACUAAAUAAUAGGCACAGUAUGCCAGUUUCUGCCCAGUUUUCUGAUGUAUCUUUUCAGAGAUAAAACUAUGUAUCCAUAAGCAUAUCUGUAUGUCUCAGUGAUGUAUUUUGGAAACUGUUCCUUCUAUACAUAGAUCUACUGUAUCUCAUUCUUCUUAACAUCUGCAUAUAGGUAAUUUUUUAGCUUUGACAAUGUUUUUCAAACUUAGAAAACCAUAUAGACAAUAAAAGUUAUUUAAAAAGCAGUGGGUGAUUGAGUAAAUCUAGGCCCAUCCAGACCUAUCAUCUCAGUAAAGCCAAAACUUGGUGUGACAGUCACCUCAUCACCUGCAGUAACUGAACCCCAUGUGGUCAACUAACUGAGCCCACAGGAGGAACGAUGUGGAAACAAGGUCCGGUCCUGCCCAGGGGCACAGAGCAUUUCUUGGGCCUGAUGAUACUUCAGCAGGCAGACCUCUGGCCACAAAGCAGUUGCCCUUGGGAGAGACGCAAGAGUAUUGCAGUCUCUGGGAGAGGACAUCCUCGUAUGAGAGUGGACUUGUCUGAACAGCGGGGCUGUUCCUACAGCUGGCUCUGCAGAGCAGUUCCCUGCUUGAGGUGGCAGCCCUGUCCCAGGCAGAGCCUCAAAAGGUCCUGCUGGGACUCUUUCACCAGGGACUGCAGGAAAUGUUUCUCUCAGGAUUGGUUCCUGAGAACUAUGGAGUGGGUAGUGGGCUUUGGAGGCAGAUGUAGGCAGCUGUGUGAUCCCAGACAACAGUCAUGUGACUUAUUUUUGGGACUUCAUCAUCAUCUGUAAAAUAAGGUUAAUAAAACAAAAAGAGGAUUGUGUGUCAAAAACCCACCGCUGUCGGGCAUGCUGUGGGCUCAGUACUAGCCGUUAUUUCUCAGGAGUGUGCUUCGUAAGCCCAGCUGCCACACAUUCUUGGGUUUUCCAUGUUAUUCUAUUCAAUAAAGGUGUGUCAUUAA